GACGAACGCUGGCGGCGUGCUUAACACAUGCAAGUCGAACGGUAAGGCUCCAGCUUGCUGGGGUACACGAGUGGCGAACGGGUGAGUAACACGUGGGUGACCUGCCCUGCACUUCGGGAUAAGCCUGGGAAACUGGGUCUAAUACCGGAUAGGACCAUGGUGUGGAUACUGUGGUGGAAAGUUUUUUCGGUGUGGGAUGGGCCCGCGGCCUAUCAGCUUGUUGGUGGGGUAAUGGCCUACCAAGGCGGCGACGGGUAGCCGGCCUGAGGGGGUGGACGGCCACAUUGGGACUGAGACACGGCCCAGACUCCUACGGGAGGCAGCAGUGGGGAAUAUUGCACAAUGGGCGGAAGCCUGAUGCAGCGACGCCGCGUGGGGGAUGACGGCCUUCGGGUUGUAAACUCCUUUCACCAUCGACGAAGGGUUUCUGACGGUAGAUGGAGAAGAAGCACCGGCUAACUACGUG
This 466-nucleotide ribosomal RNA is filed under the name uncultured bacterium. RNAcentral's name for it is "partial 16S ribosomal RNA". It matches the Rfam family "Bacterial small subunit ribosomal RNA", at positions 28 to 507 of the family's 1533-position model. The record is from RNAcentral.